RNAcentral lists this long non-coding RNA (583 nucleotides) under Gossypium barbadense (sea-island cotton). RNAcentral describes it as "long non-coding RNA (GBAR_LNC020514)". The record is from RNAcentral. Lineage: Eukaryota; Viridiplantae; Streptophyta; Magnoliopsida; Malvales; Malvaceae.
CGAUAUUUAGGGUUUUAGACCGCUAUAAAUUGCGGUGAACGAAACAGCAGCAGCAGUCGAAGAUUAUAUCAUCGUUUCGAGUUACAGCGUUUCAGAUCCGUGCUUCCAUGGGUUAAUCUCAACCUCUUUCUUCAAUCUUAUGCAUCCUACUUGUAUUUUUCAAUUAUUAUCUGCAGUGAACUUUUCAUCGCAAAUAGUCGGCAUAUGCUCUCGAUGAUUGAACUUCAAUCUAAUAGUUUCAGCCUUGUCCGAAUUUGUUCAUGUUGGAAACUAGUUUUGUUCUGAGAGAGCUUUCUUCUUCUCGGCGCUUUUUUAAAAAUGUUUUUUAUAUCAACAUUUUCGAUCAGUCACAGCUCCGUCUAAUGUGGUAAAAUACUUUUCAAUCAUUAUCUACCAUUUCAUGUUCUUUCUAUUGUUUUACCAAGUGAAUAUUGUUCAAAUUACUUUAUUUUCCUUUAUUAACUUUUAUCAUCCAGACAAAUUAAUAUGUAAUGCUUUCAUUAACCUCUCACUUUAAACUCAGAUGUUUUAUAGUAGGCCACAACAAAUUAUCUUAUUUAUUUAAUAAUUAAAUAAAUGUUUA